GGGAGUAUAGCUCAGCUGGUUCAGAGCGCCUGCCUUACAAGCAGGAGGUCACUGGUUCGAUCCCUGUUACUCCCACCA
RNAcentral lists this transfer RNA (78 nucleotides) under Bacteroidales bacterium. RNAcentral's name for it is "tRNA-Val". It matches the Rfam family "tRNA". Rfam says of the family: Transfer RNA (tRNA) molecules are approximately 80 nucleotides in length. Their secondary structure includes four short double-helical elements and three loops (D, anti-codon, and T loops). Lineage: Bacteria; Pseudomonadati; Bacteroidota; Bacteroidia; Bacteroidales. The record is from RNAcentral. RNAcentral also lists the same sequence under 2 other names.